GGGGCUGCCCGGUUUCGACAGGGAGCGAGGGUCUAUAGAUGCAAGCCGAGGCGCUUUACCCUCGUAAAAAUGAAGCAAGCCAAUAACUGGCAAAACUACUACACAGAAAGCCCCUGCGGCUUUCGCUUUCGCUGCUUAAUUAGUUAAACAGCCGUUCCGACAGAUCCGGGUCCCGUGGAGCUGGUAGGGGCGUUGCAAAAACGGGAUGCGUUCAGGCAAGAGUUGGGUAACCUGAUCAAAGACCACACAAUUUGAACGAGGAACCUUUGUCGGCUUAGUUUCUUAGUUCGAGAUUAGAAGUCAACCAAGCUUGUGGAUGAGUCUGUAGGUUUGACCUUUUUGGACGGGGGUUCAACUCCCCCCAGCUCCAUCU
This 373-nucleotide transfer-messenger RNA is filed under the name Chloroflexia. Its description in RNAcentral is "L227-S17 sp013390565 Standard tmRNA". It matches the Rfam family "transfer-messenger RNA". Rfam says of the family: Bacterial tmRNA, also known as 10Sa RNA or SsrA, is named for its dual tRNA and mRNA-like properties. RNAcentral also lists the same sequence under 1 other name. Lineage: Bacteria; Bacillati; Chloroflexota. The record is from RNAcentral.